RNAcentral lists this non-coding RNA (30 nucleotides) under Rattus norvegicus (Norway rat). The record is from RNAcentral. Lineage: Eukaryota; Metazoa; Chordata; Mammalia; Rodentia; Muridae.
UAAACUCACCAUGUAUGAUUUGUGGUCUUU